ACCGACUAAUGUUGAAAAAUUAGCGGAUGACUUGUGGCUGGGGGUGAAAGGCCAAUCAAACCGGGAGAUAGCUGGUUCUCCCCGAAAGCUAUUUAGGUAGCGCCUCGUGAAUUCAUCUCCGGGGGUAGAGCACUGUUUCGGCAAGGGGGUCAUCCCGACUUACCAACCCGAUGCAAACUGCGAAUACCGGAGAAUGUUAUCACGGGAGACACACGGCGGGUGCUAACGUCCGUCGUGAAGAGGGAAACAACCCAGACCGCCAGCUAAGGUCCCAAAGUCAUGGUUAAGUGGGAAACGAUGUGGGAAGGCCCAGACAGCCAGGAUGUUGGCUUAGAAGCAGCCAUCAUUUAAAGAAAGCGUAAUAGCUCACUGGUCGAGUCGGCCUGCGCGGAAGAUGUAACGGGGCUAAACCAUGCAC
Molecule: ribosomal RNA, 418 nt
Filed under: Escherichia coli
Lineage: Bacteria; Pseudomonadati; Pseudomonadota; Gammaproteobacteria; Enterobacterales; Enterobacteriaceae
Description: partial 23S ribosomal RNA
Rfam family: Bacterial large subunit ribosomal RNA
Source: RNAcentral